CAGAAAUAGUUAAAGGCAAAAGAUUCAGAGUUUCAAUAUUCUUUAUCAGACUGAACACACACUGAAAAUGGACACAUCUUGAUUAGAAUGUGAAUGAGCACAAUAUCACAGAUGGAUAAAUAUGAGCCAGAUCUGACUGAAUGUAGUGUAAAGUGCUUUGGGGUCCUUAGAGACUAAGUAAAGCGCUAUACAUUUACAGGCCAUUUACAUGAAUGAUGACUCACUAAAAGAGCUGCAUUUGGGCGAUUGGACGUAUUUAUCGACCAUUGACAAUAAGCUGAGCCUUUCAUUGAUCAUUUUUGCAAGAGCGAUAUAUUUAUUCAUUUAUUUAUUUGCCCAUUAGUAAGUUUGCUAAUAUUGUUAAUUGAAGCUAAGAGAAGCAGUCUACGGAAAAAAUAAUAGUGCCGUUUUAACCGCACCCUCUUCCAGCUGCGAGCAAAUCUACCCUCUUCAGAGUGCACCCAAAUGCAGCAAUUUCAUUUACUCAAACUCAUAACAGAGAGAAAGAAAGGCAGUAGCCUCUGUUCAGAAAACAAAACAAAACAAAAAAAACCCCAUUUUAUUUAAAUUUCUCUUAAAAAUUCUCUGACAUAAUGUUGUCUUUUCUGCGAUUUGGCGCAUCUCAAAUAAAUAAAUAAAUGAAUAAUCCAAAAAGUAGCUAUAUUAAUACCAAAACAAACAAGAAAAGAAAGUAAGAUAUUCCCUCCACACAAAGCGUAAAUGACAUGGUCCUGGGUUUUUUUGACUCAGCGUUUUGUCUUUUCUAUUAUUGUGAUGUAUUCUGGUUGUGAUUUUCUAGCUUUUUGGUUCUGUUCUUUGUCAGUUUAGUGCUUAGUCAUUCCUGCCUGUGUGUUCCCUCUGUGUUUCUUAGUCUUUGUCUUUGCAUGUGUGAGUUCCUGUUUUAUUUUGAAGGUCAGUGUCUCAGGUUAUUGUAUUCUGUUUUACUUCCCUCAGUCUCGUCAGCUCUGAUUUCCUCCAGCUGUGUCUCUCUCCUGCCUCC
This is a long non-coding RNA of Astatotilapia calliptera (eastern happy), 1000 nucleotides long. The record is from Ensembl. Lineage: Eukaryota; Metazoa; Chordata; Actinopteri; Cichliformes; Cichlidae.